CUGGCUCAGGAUGAACGCUAGCGGCAGGCUUAACACAUGCAAGUCGAGGGGCAACGCGAGUAGCAAUACUUGGCGGCGACCGGCGCAAGGGUGCGUAACGCGUGAGCAACAUGCCCGUAUCAGGGGGAUAAUCCAGGGAAACUUGGUCUAAUACCCCAUAGUAAUUUUGUAAGGCAUCUUAUAAGAUUUAGAGCUUUGGUGGAUACGGAUUGGCUCGCGUGACAUUAGCUGGAUGGUAAGGUAACGGCUUACCAUGGCUAUGAUGUCUAGGGGUUCUGAGAGGAAGGUCCCCCCACACUGGAACUGAGACACGGUCCAGACUCCUACGGGAGGCAGCAGUGAGGAAUAUUGGACAAUGGAUGGAAAUCUGAUCCAGCCAUGCCGCGUGAAGGAAGAAAGGUCCUAUGGAUUGUAAACUUCUUUUGUAUGGGAGCAAUAAGGCCUACGAGUAGGUUGAUGAGAGUACCAUACGAAUAAGCACCGGCUAACUCCGUGCCAGCAGCUGC
Molecule: ribosomal RNA, 506 nt
Filed under: uncultured bacterium
Lineage: Bacteria
Description: bacterial SSU rRNA
Rfam family: Bacterial small subunit ribosomal RNA
Source: RNAcentral